GACGAACGCUGGCGGCGUGCCUAAUACAUGCAAGUAGAACGCUGAAGGAGGAGCUUGCUCUUCUGGAUGAGUUGCGAACGGGUGAGUAACGCGUAGGUAACCUGCCUGGUAGCGGGGGAUAACUAUUGGAAACGAUAGCUAAUACCGCAUAACAGUAGAUGUUGCAUGACAUUUGCUUAAAAGGUGCAAUCGCACCACUACCAGAUGGACCUGCGUUGUAUUAGCUAGUUGGUGGGGUAACGGCUCACCAAGGCGACGAUACAUAGCCGACCUGAGAGGGUGAUCGGCCACACUGGGACUGAGACACGGCCCAGACUCCUACGGGAGGCAGCAGUAGGGAAUCUUCGGCAAUGGACGGAAGUCUGACCGAGCAACGCCGCGUGAGUGAAGAAGGUUUUCGGAUCGUAAAGCUCUGUUGUAAGAGAAGAACGAGUGUGAGAGUGGAAAGUUCACACUGUGACGGUAUCUUACCAGAAAGGGGCGGCUAACUACGU
This 494-nucleotide ribosomal RNA is filed under the name uncultured bacterium. Its description in RNAcentral is "partial 16S ribosomal RNA". It matches the Rfam family "Bacterial small subunit ribosomal RNA", at positions 28 to 506 of the family's 1533-position model. The record is from RNAcentral.